AGAACUGGACCCUUGACCUAAAAUGACC
RNAcentral lists this non-coding RNA (28 nucleotides) under Homo sapiens (human). Lineage: Eukaryota; Metazoa; Chordata; Mammalia; Primates; Hominidae. The record is from RNAcentral.